RNAcentral lists this ribosomal RNA (873 nucleotides) under uncultured bacterium. RNAcentral's name for it is "bacterial SSU rRNA". It matches the Rfam family "Bacterial small subunit ribosomal RNA", at positions 66 to 939 of the family's 1533-position model. The record is from RNAcentral.
ACGGUAACGCGGGGCAACCUGGCGACGAGUGGCGAACGGGUGAGUAAUGCAUCGGAACGUGCCUGGUAAUGGGGGAUAACUGCUCGAAAGAGCAGCUAAUACCGCAUACGACCUGAGGGUGAAAGGGGGGGAUCGCAAGACCUCCCGUUAUCAGAGCGGCCGAUGUCGGAUUAGCUAGUUGGUGGGGUAAAAGCCCACCAAGGCGACGAUCCGUAGCUGGUCUGAGAGGACGACCAGCCACACUGGGACUGAGACACGGCCCAGACUCCUACGGGAGGCAGCAGUGGGGAAUUUUGGACAAUGGACGCAAGUCUGAUCCAGCCAUGCCGCGUGCGGGAAGAAGGCCUUCGGGUUGUAAACCGCUUUUGUCAGGGAAGAAAUCUUCUAGGCUAAUACCUUGGGAGGAUGACGGUACCUGAAGAAUAAGCACCGGCUAACUACGUGCCAGCAGCCGCGGUAAUACGUAGGGUGCAAGCGUUAAUCGGAAUUACUGGGCGUAAAGCGUGCGCAGGCGGUUAUGCAAGACAGGUGUGAAAUCCCCGAGCUCAACUUGGGAACUGCACUUGUGACUGCAUAGCUAGAGUACGGUAGAGGGGAGUGGAAUUCCGCGUGUAGCAGUGAAAUGCGUAGAUAUGCGGAGGAACACCGAUGGCGAAGGCAGCUCCCUGGACCUGUACUGACGCUCAUGCACGAAAGCGUGGGGGAGCAAACAGGANUANAUACCCUGNNAGUCCACGCCCUAAACGAUGUCAACUGGUUGUUGGGAGGGUUUCUUCUCAGUAACGAAGCUAACGCGUGAAGUUGACCGCCUGGGGAGUACGGCCGCAAGGUUGAACUCANNGAAUUGACGGGGACCCGCACAGCGGUNGAUGA